RNAcentral lists this transfer RNA (83 nucleotides) under Hujiaoplasma nucleasis. RNAcentral describes it as "Tenericutes bacterium zrk29 tRNA-Leu". It matches the Rfam family "tRNA". Rfam says of the family: Transfer RNA (tRNA) molecules are approximately 80 nucleotides in length. The record is from RNAcentral. Lineage: Bacteria; Bacillati; Mycoplasmatota; Mollicutes; Candidatus Izemoplasmatales; Hujiaoplasmataceae. RNAcentral also lists the same sequence under 1 other name.
GCGGGUAUGGCGGAACUGGCAGACGCGCUAGACUUAGGAUCUAGUUCCUUGGAGUGCAGGUUCGACUCCUGUUACCCGCACCA